GAUGAACGCUGGCGGCGUGCCUAAUACAUGCAAGUCGAGCGAACGGACGAGAAGCUUGCUUCUCUGAUGUUAGCGGCGGACGGGUGAGUAACACGUGGAUACCCUACCUAUAAGACUGGGAUAACUUCGGGAAACCGGAGCUAAUACCGGAUAAUAUUUUGAACCGCAUUGUUCAAAAGUGAAAGACGGUCUUGCUGUCACUUAUAGCUGGAUCCGCGCUGCAUUAGAUAGUUGUUAAGGUAACGGCUUACCAAGGCAACUAUGCAUAACCGACCUGAGAGGCGGAUCGGCCACACGGGAACUGAGACAGGGUCCAGAGUCCUACGGGAGGCAGCAGUAGGGAAUCUUCCGCAAUGGGCGAAAGCCUGACGGAGCAACGCCGCGUGAGUGAUGAAGAUGUUCGGAUCGUAAAACUCUGUUAUUAGGGAAGAACAUAUGUGUAAGGAACUGUGCACAUCUUGACGGUACCGAAUCAGAAAGCCACGGCUAACUACGUG
Molecule: ribosomal RNA, 497 nt
Filed under: uncultured bacterium
Lineage: Bacteria
Description: partial 16S ribosomal RNA
Rfam family: Bacterial small subunit ribosomal RNA
Source: RNAcentral